RNAcentral lists this ribosomal RNA (479 nucleotides) under uncultured bacterium. RNAcentral describes it as "bacterial SSU rRNA". It matches the Rfam family "Bacterial small subunit ribosomal RNA", at positions 30 to 507 of the family's 1533-position model. The record is from RNAcentral.
UGAACGCUGGCGGCGUGCUUAACACAUGCAAGUCGAACGAAGCAUUUGCGACAGAUCUUUUCGGAGUGAAGUUGCUUAUGACUGAGUGGCGGACGGGUGAGUAACGCGUGGGUAACCUGCCUCAUACAGGGGGAUAGCAGCUGGAAACGGCUGGUAAUACCGCAUAAGCGCACAGAAUCGCAUGAUUUAGUGUGAAAAACUCCGGUGGUAUGAGAUGGACCCGCGUCUGAUUAGCUAGUUGGUGGGGCAACAGCCCACCAAGGCGACGAUCAGUAGCCGACCUGAGAGGGUGACCGGCCACAUUGGGACUGAGACACGGCCCAGACUCCUACGGGAGGCAGCAGUGGGGAAUAUUGCACAAUGGGGGGAACCCUGAUGCAGCAACGCCGCGUGAGUGAUGACGGUCUUCGGAUUGUAAAACUCUGUCUUUAGGGACGAUAAUGACGGUACCUAAGGAGGAAGCCACGGCUAACUACGUG